This is a long non-coding RNA of Carassius auratus (goldfish), 334 nucleotides long. RefSeq lists it as uncharacterized. The transcript has 3 exons. The record is from RefSeq and is a predicted model, not a curated record. Lineage: Eukaryota; Metazoa; Chordata; Actinopteri; Cypriniformes; Cyprinidae.
CCAAGUGCUGGGUUGAGCCAUUUGGGUAAAUUUUUUGGGUUAUUUUCUCAGUCUUGGGUAGUUUUGGGGUAGUUCUAUGUAACCCAACCGCUGGGUUAUUUUCUGGGUCGUUUUCACUGAGAGCUGAAUCAAUGCACCCCCUCCCCCACUCGGACGCAAUAACCCAGCUCAUUGGGUCAAAUCAACUCCGCGCAGGAUCAGCGCAGCGCGGGCUGACUGAAUUCGAGGUGGAGGUGGAUGCCACACACACGCUGUAAUAUUUGGAGAAAUAAGACCUGCUCUUGACUGUCCGUGGUGGCAAAUCCACAGCCUUUAGCUGGAGUAGAAUCAACCG